RNAcentral lists this long non-coding RNA (985 nucleotides) under Homo sapiens (human). RNAcentral's name for it is "HSALNT0213332". The record is from RNAcentral. Lineage: Eukaryota; Metazoa; Chordata; Mammalia; Primates; Hominidae.
CUAUUCACCUAGAUGGCUUUGCACGUGGUUAAGACUAAGAGUAAAGUCCCUGCAGGGCCCGUGUUAGCUGUGUCUUCCUUCAUCCCUGCAGUGCCCUUGUUAGCUAUGUCUUCCUGCAUGUUACCAACCUCCAAUAAUAAUACUAACGAACAUGUCUGAAGCUCUUACCAGUUGUCAGGCAACGUGCAAAAUGCUUUCUGUACAUUAUCCCACUCAGUCUUCUCAAUUGUGAGGUGGGUACUGCAAUCAUGCCCAUUUCAGAGAGAAGAGAAACUGAGGCUUAAGCCCAGGCCUUUCUCAUUCCAUCCUCAAGAAGCACCAGAUGAGUGAGUAGUGUCCGUCCCUGUUUUGUGUUUCUGUUGGUGAUCUGCUGGAUCCUCUUCCUGACUUGGGGUGCAGCAAAGUUCUGUCCCUCCUCUGGGGUCUCCCUCAGUGAGGAACACACAUCCAUGGUCAAUGCCGGGUGGCUCUGCCCCUUGGAAGCUCUGCCCAUUGACUUUGCAUAAAGGGAGCACUGAACCCAGGGAGUCUCACCUUGCACCAAGGACAUCAGGUUUUCCUUCUGACCACCUUUAAGUGGGCCACUAAGUUGUUUUCCUUGAGUCUAGAGGCAAAAUGGCAACACCUGCCAGGAAGGGUUUCUCAGAGGUAGCCACCUGGCCCUGGUCCACCUGCAUCUGAAGCACCUGCAGGGCUUAUUAAACAUACAGGUUCCUGGGCCCCUUGACCUACUGGGUUAGAGUCUGACGGCAGGAAAGACCUGAGACUAUGCAUUUUAAAUAAGCGCCUUCCCAAAGCCCUACCCCAUUCGAGAACCUUUGUCUAAGGCAGAGAGGUUGCAAACUGUUGGCUCACGGUAAAAACAAGAAGACCUCUGCUAGUUUGAAAGAUCUGGCAAUGCCAAGCCUACUUUCCCUCAUGGCACUGACUGGAGACCCUGGGACAGGGCUUAGGCUGUCUCUCCAGCUCCCCCAUUCCCUGCCUG